This 75-nucleotide transfer RNA is filed under the name Clavibacter sp. RNAcentral's name for it is "tRNA-Met". It matches the Rfam family "tRNA". Rfam says of the family: Transfer RNA (tRNA) molecules are approximately 80 nucleotides in length. Their secondary structure includes four short double-helical elements and three loops (D, anti-codon, and T loops). Further hydrogen bonds mediate the characteristic L-shaped molecular structure. tRNAs have two regions of fundamental functional importance: the anti-codon, which is responsible for specific mRNA codon recognition, and the 3' end, to which the tRNAs corresponding amino acid is attached (by aminoacyl-tRNA synthetases). tRNAs cope with the degeneracy of the genetic code in two manners: having more than one tRNA (with a specific anti-codon) for a particular amino acid; and 'wobble' base-pairing, i.e. permitting non-standard base-pairing at the 3rd anti-codon position. The record is from RNAcentral. Lineage: Bacteria; Bacillati; Actinomycetota; Actinomycetes; Micrococcales; Microbacteriaceae.
AGUGGGAUGGAGCAGUGGUAGCUCAUCGGGUUCAUACCCCGAAGGUCGGCGGUUCGAGUCCGCCUCCCGCCACCA